CCCUCCUAUAAAGGUGCCUUGGGUUCCUUGUCUUUGGACAUGUAAGAAUUGGAGGCAAAAGAAAUUGUGGAUUUGGUGACAUCUGGGCCAGCUUGUUGCCUGCAGGCUCCAAAUCAACCAUCUCACAUAA
Molecule: small nucleolar RNA, 130 nt
Organism: Octodon degus (degu)
Lineage: Eukaryota; Metazoa; Chordata; Mammalia; Rodentia; Octodontidae
Source: Ensembl